This 733-nucleotide long non-coding RNA is filed under the name Trifolium pratense (red clover). Its description in RNAcentral is "long non-coding RNA (TPRA_LNC002503)". Lineage: Eukaryota; Viridiplantae; Streptophyta; Magnoliopsida; Fabales; Fabaceae. The record is from RNAcentral.
UUUUGUAGCCAUGACUAUGGAAUAUAUGUUUUAAAGUAUUUGGAGAUGUGGGAUGGUGACAGGAAAUGAGGUGAUAGAACCAUGUCUGAUUUCACAUUGGUAAAAUUUUAACGAUUUGUCAACUUAACUGGUAUUUUAUUGAAAUAGAAAUAUAUAAAUUUAUGUGUAAUUGAUGUAUGUGUAGGAUGAAAUUCUACAUUUUCGUCGACAAUUUGUUUGUGAAUGGGUGUUGCAUCCUCAAAAUCUCGAGUUGAAACAUGUACGAGUAGAAGCAAGUCUGUCGGAUGACUUCUCAAUAGAUUCGCUUCAGUCUUGAUUGGGUAACUCAUCUAUCAUCUUUUUUUUUUUUUGCAUUGUGUGUUGUCAUUUUUUUGCAUUGUGAAUUUGAUGGUCCUUCAUAUCCAUGAUGUAUUGAUGUAUGUGUCCUUUUAAGUUUUUUGUUUUGUUGUCGGUAGUGACUUAACCAAAAGCGUGCCUCCUAAAUUAUUUGUAUUACAGAUAUAGGGAGAGUUUCACUCUCACAAUGCAGGGAAAUGUAAUUUUGUGCAAGAUUCCCAAAUGGUAAUUUAGGCGCAGUUGAAGUGACAAUGAAUCAAGUAACAAAUCAAGAAUCCUGAAGGUUGAGAUAAUGUCUGUUGUGAGUUAAGACUGUGAGCGGACAAAUAUUGAUGCUCAUAUUUCUGUGAGCGUGUCCUAAAUGUUUAUGCUUUUAUUUUGGCAUCUCAUUAUUUUG